UAUGUUUUCUCUUGCUUCUCUGCUCCAUUCCGAGGGAGGUAAGAAUUUGAUCUCGGAUGACAAGGGAGCCUGCACCAUUUUGCCCCACCAGCACCUGGCUGUGCCAAGUGAAAUCUUGGGUGACUAUUUCUCCCCUCAUCUGGCCCUGCAGGAUUAUCCAGGGUGGUGAGCUGGGCACCAUGAUAGAUGCCACAUUUUCCAUGAUGGCUUACAAUAGUGCCAACGCAGUCUUUACAGGAACCAUGAGCAUCACCUUCAAGAGGUCUGUUUCCUUGGGGUGCCUAGGUGGCUCAGUGAGCUCACUGCUCCAAGUUCCGCCGUUAAAUUUCCUGGGUGAAGAAUGGAUACUGGAAAGUAUUGGAAGCCUGUCACUAUGAAAAGCUUGGACUUUAUUCUUCAGAUAAUCAGGGACAUGGAAGGUAUGUGCCUGCUUUUUUCAACAGGA
RNAcentral lists this long non-coding RNA (445 nucleotides) under Vulpes vulpes (red fox). RNAcentral describes it as "lncRNA (ENSVVUG00000005765.1)". Lineage: Eukaryota; Metazoa; Chordata; Mammalia; Carnivora; Canidae. The record is from RNAcentral.